GCGAGAGAAUCAGAUAUUGGGGAUAUUGUUGUGAAGAAUAUGAGGUCCUUACAGAAGAUGGCUAUUACCUAAGUGUGAACAGAAUUCUGGGAGGCAAUAAGUCUGCUAUAUUAUUAAUGCAUGGACUACUUAUGGAAGGUAGUGUGUGGAUAUCAAAUUUACCCCACCAGAGCCUGGGCUUCAUACUAGCAGAUGGUGGGUAUGAUGUAUGGAUUGGAAAUGUCAGAGGAAACUCCUGGUCUAGAAGUCACAAGCAUCUUUCAAUUAAUGAAACAGAAUUUUGGAAUUUUAGUUUCCAUGAAAUGGGCAUUUAUGAUCUUACUGCCAUGACAGAGUUUAUUCUACAGAAAAC
Crotalus tigris (Tiger rattlesnake) is the source of this 352-nucleotide long non-coding RNA. RefSeq lists it as uncharacterized. NCBI's taxonomy places the organism in Eukaryota, Metazoa, Chordata, Lepidosauria, Squamata, Viperidae. The record is from RefSeq and is a predicted model, not a curated record. The transcript is spliced from 3 exons.